CCAUUAAUUUUUAUGAACCCCUAAUUUAUAAUGAAUGACUCCAUAUUUAUAUGGAAGACACCAUGCUAGGAUUAGUAACAAGAAUUUAUAAUUCUCCAAAAUGCAAAUAUAAACCAACAUGGAUAGACCAUUGGUAGUUACCGAACCUAAAUUUAAUGCAAUAACAUCCACAAGAAAACUCUGCAGCACUCACUCGUUAACCUAACACCAGCGCAUUACAGGAAAGAUUCAAAAAAAGAGAAGGAAUUCGGCAAAUGACGGCCCCGCCUGUUUACCAAAAACAUCGCCUCUUGACUUAUAAUAAGAGGUCUAGCCUGCCCAGUGAAUUUUAAACGGCCGCGGUAUCCUAACCGCGCGAAGGUAGCAUAAUCACUUGUUCUUUAAAUGGGGACUCGUAUCAACGGCAUCACGAGGGUUUUACUGUCUCCUCUUUUUGAUCAGUGAAAUUGAUCUUCCCGUGAAGAAGCGGGAAUAUUUUUAUAAGACGAGAAGACCCCAUGGAGCUUUAAACCAAAUAACAACUUAACCACUUAUCCCAUAAUAAAUUUAACCCCUGUUAUAAGGUUUUUGGUUGGGGUGACCGCGGAGUAAAGCACAUCCUCCACGACGGAAAGAAUAAAAUCUUUAUUUAAGAACCACACUUCUAGAAAUUAGUAUACUAACGUUUACUGACCCGACAAUCGAUCAACGGACCAAGUUACCCUGGGGAUAACAGCGCAAUCUACUUCGAGAGCUCAUAUCGACAAGUAGGCUUACGACCUCGAUGUUGGAUCAGGGUAUCCCGGUGGUGCAGCCGCUACCGAAGGUUCGUUUGUUCAACGAUUAAAACCCUACGUGAUCUG
Molecule: ribosomal RNA, 842 nt
Filed under: Polypedates leucomystax (Java whipping frog)
Lineage: Eukaryota; Metazoa; Chordata; Amphibia; Anura; Rhacophoridae
Description: partial 16S ribosomal RNA
Rfam family: Bacterial large subunit ribosomal RNA
Source: RNAcentral